This 305-nucleotide ribosomal RNA is filed under the name uncultured bacterium. RNAcentral's name for it is "bacterial SSU rRNA". It matches the Rfam family "Bacterial small subunit ribosomal RNA", at positions 333 to 655 of the family's 1533-position model. The record is from RNAcentral.
UGUGCCCUACGGGAGGCAGCAGUGGGGAAUAUUGCACAAUGGGCGAAAGCCUGAUGCAGCAACGCCGCGUGAAGGAAGACGGUUUUCGGAUUGUAAACUUCUGUUCUUAGUGAAGAAUAAUGACGGUAACUAAGGAGCAAGCCACGGCUAACUACGUGCCAGCAGCCGCGGUAAUACGGAGGAUGCGAGCGUUAUCCGGAUUUAUUGGGUUUAAAGGGUGCGUAGGCGGAAGGUUAAGUCAGCGGUCAAAUGUCGGUGCUCAACACCGGCCUGCCGUUGAAACUGGUCUUCUUGAGUGAGCGAGA